UGUCCCAUGGCUUAGUUGGUUACAGCAUCCAACUAUUAUACCAAAUUCAAGUUGCAUGUCACAUCAGAAGAUCGAGAGUUUGAGUCUCUCUGGGACAG
Non-coding RNA from Termitomyces sp. 'cryptogamus', 98 nucleotides. The record is from the annotation of a GenBank genome assembly. NCBI's taxonomy places the organism in Eukaryota, Fungi, Basidiomycota, Agaricomycetes, Agaricales, Lyophyllaceae.